This 511-nucleotide ribosomal RNA is filed under the name uncultured bacterium. RNAcentral describes it as "bacterial SSU rRNA". It matches the Rfam family "Bacterial small subunit ribosomal RNA", at positions 28 to 526 of the family's 1533-position model. The record is from RNAcentral.
GACGAACGCUGGCGGCGCGCUUAAUACAUGCAAGUCGAGCGAGAACCGGAGCUUCGGCUCCGGGGACAGCGGCGAACGGGUGAGUAACACGUGGGUAACCUGCCCUCGGCACCGGGAUAGCCCGGGGAAACCCGGAUUAAUACCGGAUGGCCCUUUCGGUCUUCGGACCGGUCGGGAAAGGUAGCUUCGGCCUCUGGCCGAGGAUGGGCCCGCGGCGGAUUAGCUUGUUGGUGGGGUAACGGCUCACCAAGGCUCCGAUCCGUAGCUGGUCUGAGAGGACGAUCAGCCACACUGGGACUGAGACACGGCCCAGACUCCUACGGGAGGCAGCAGUAGGGAAUCUUGCGCAAUGGGCGAAAGCCUGACGCAGCGACGCCGCGUGCGGGAAGACGGCCUUCGGGUUGUAAACCGCUUUCAGGAGGGACGAAGCCACUCGGGUGAAUAGCCCAGAGGGUGACGGUACCUCCAGAAGAAGCCCCGGCUAACUACGUGCCAGCAGCCGCAGUAAAAC